Molecule: ribosomal RNA, 396 nt
Filed under: Phaethon lepturus (White-tailed tropicbird)
Lineage: Eukaryota; Metazoa; Chordata; Aves; Phaethontiformes; Phaethontidae
Description: partial 12S small subunit ribosomal RNA
Rfam family: Bacterial small subunit ribosomal RNA
Source: RNAcentral
GCCUAGCCGUAAAUCUCGAUGCUUCCCCCACCAAAGCAUCCGCCUGAGAACUACGAGCACAAACGCUUAAAACUCUAAGGACUUGGCGGUGCCCCAAACCCACCUAGAGGAGCCUGUUCUAUAAUCGAUAAUCCACGAUACACCUCACCAUCUCUUGCAAGACAGCAGCCUACAUACCGCCGUCGCCAGUUCACCUCAUCAGAGCCCAGCAGUGAACACAACAGCCUCAACCCCGCUAAUAAGGCAGGUCAAGGUAUAGCCCACGAGAUGGCAGAAAUGGGCUACAUUCUCUAAAAUAGAGCAUCCACGAAAGAGAGCAUGAAAUCGCUCCCAGAAGGCGGAUUUAGCAGUAAAGCGGAACAAUAGAGCCCACUUAAAGCCGGCCCUGGAGCACGU